Molecule: long non-coding RNA, 2664 nt
Filed under: Vitis vinifera (wine grape)
Lineage: Eukaryota; Viridiplantae; Streptophyta; Magnoliopsida; Vitales; Vitaceae
Description: long non-coding RNA (VVIN_LNC006922)
Source: RNAcentral
CUUGAAUCAAUAAGUUUUUGAGCAAAGGUUGAUUACUACUCAAAAAGUGCUAUUUGAUAACCUAUAAUUAAUCCUUUUAAACACUUUUGAGUAGUAGUUUAGGCCUUUUAACUCAAUUGGCAUGUUAAGGAUCCUUUAAAGCAAUUUUAAUCACUUUGUGCAAGUUUUGGUGUUUUUGUUAGUAAUUUGAUCACCAAAGCAAGUCAAGUCUGAGGAGAGCUAUGAGGAAUCUUGGGCAAACUUGAGAAGUCAUUUGCCAAGAGUAAAUCAGGAUUGCAAGGAGAAAAAGCAAAGAGAAUCUGCCAUAAAGCAUAUUCUUGAUGACAGUCGUAGCAGCCACUUUUGGAGCACUUUCUGAAGUCCAAAUGAUGCAUUCUAUAUACCAUUUCAAAGCUCAGGAAGUCAACAAUCCAAUGCUUCAAACGGUGUGCAAUUCGGAGUUGAAACGAAGAAGUUGCAGCCAUUACAAGCCAAUCACUCCGAGCUGAAGGAAGCAUUUUGCAAAGUGUUGCGAAAUCACCCUUUUGUUGUGAAGUGAUUUCGCAGCCUUUUUGAACAGUGUGAUGUUUCUCCUUCUGACGAUACCCGAUUUAUGCCGCGAGAAGGAAGCUGGGAACCUCAAGGUGGAAGCCAACUUCGCAGCCCUGUGAAGAUAGCUUGGUGUUGCGAAAUUAUUUCGCAGCCCUCUUGAGUGUCUGCGAAAUCUCGCAGACACCAUUUUUCUCCUGCGAAAUGGUUCUUGAAGCCUCCCGAUAUUUGCUACCGACAUUGGGAGAUAUUUUCCAUUAGAUUUUUGUUGUCUAAAUCCCAAAAUACUCCUUGUAAACCACCAAUUAUAUGAUUCCUUAGCUUUUAAGUUAGUAAAAAGACUAAAUAUCUAUGUAAUAUUUAGUUUUAUAUUAUGUACAUAUAUAUACCUCUCGGGAGCCUGUUCUCAGGGAGGAGUUCCUUCUGAAAAAGUUUGGGUAAGCAAGUAAAGUCUAUUUUCUUUCUACUGCCUUACCUUCUCACUUUGUAUUUUCAUUUUAUUUCUAAGUUAUGAAUUCUCUGAGGAGUUUUCCCCAGAGAAUGAGUAACUAAACCUCUAAUUCCUUGGAGCUAAGGUUGCCGGGGAAGGUUCCAAGUGCAAGAAUGCAAAGCUUUGUGGUUUUAGCUAUUAAUGAAGAGGAAGUGAAAUCCUUUAAUGAUUUCUAUGUUUUUAGUUAGCUUAAAACACCUUAGAGUCACCUGGGCCAACACUUGGUAAGGCAAGUGAUUUCCAACCAUGGAAAUGCACUAGUUUACCCCUUGCGAGCCUCUGGGAGGUGACUUCAAGGUAGGAUUUUCUAGAAUAGCCAACACUUGGUAAGCUUUUGGACUCCUAGGAGACAUCCAUUAGUUAUCUUUUGCGAGCUUUUGACGGGUAAUCCAAGGUUAAAGAUCACCUUGAAUGGUUAAGGCUUAGUGAGAGGCUUAAACCAUUGCAAAGUGCAUCAGUGAGAGAAUUAAAGUGAAAUCUAAUUGAAGGAGUCUCUGUAUAACACCGGUUAGAGAAUUGACUAUAUGUUGAAUCUCUAAUGCGAGGAAAUGAACCAUCUGACCGGAGCUAUGUCUUUUGCAUGAGGAACCACCCUAGUGAACCUAAAUCUCCAGGGAAUGCUUUUCUUCCUAAAUUAUUCCAAACUUCUGUUGUGUUAGUUAGUUUAAGUCUAAACUUUUACCAAUCAAAGUUUGUGUUUUACUUCUUAAGCUAACCAUGAAAUGAAACAAAACCAAUUCACUUGGAAUUGGUAUCAUUGAGAGCUUGUUAAUCUUUCCCAGUGGACGAUCCUAGAGCCACUAUACUAUAGUAGCUUUUUCUUUGCUACCCUAGUAUAUGGUGUUAUAGGUUAUAAAUUUUGUUGAUUACUCCCUCAAUCAAGGAGCACCAGCUGGACACAAAUCAGCUGAGACACCAAUUGGGCAUGAAUCAAAGGUGACUGCCCGAAGCAUGGCAAUGAUGUGCACUUUUGGCAAUUUAUGAGACUUAGAUAUACCAUUUUAGAGAAUGAGGCAUCCAUUAUCCAACGUGGGAAUUUUGGACCAUCAUACAGCACAAUGCUGAGUUUAUUCAAAUUUGAAUGAGGCUGUAGAGAGUCAAGGACAUCCAUUUCAUGUAUUCCAUUUUGUGAAUAAUUCAACUCGACAUUCCACUUCAUGGUCAAUCCUUCAAGGUUGUGCUUUGUAUUUAGAUUGGCAUUCCUUGCAUCUUGAAUAUUCUCUACUUUCUCUAAUUUUGAAAUGCAAAUUUCUCCUUCGAGAUGCGACGUAUCCCUUAAAUCCUUAAUUUUCAAACCAUCUCCUUCACCCAGAGUAAAAUUGGACAAUACUCACAACUCUUUUAAUUUUCCAAUUUGUGGAGGCAUUUCUUUUAAUUCCCAUGUACCAGAGAUAUCAAGAUACCGAAGAUUGAUUAGGUUCCCGAUGCUAGUAGGUUGGUUAAUAAGAUUCCUACAACCCAAUAAUAUUAGUGUUUGUAAAUUAUAAAGACUACUAAUGGACUAGGGUAACCACUUGAUAUAAGUCGUGGAAAAAUUGAGAUACCUUAAAUGUUUCAUGUCACCAAGUGAAUUUGGUAUCUCAUUUACCUGGUAACCACUCAAUGACAACACUCUUAGGCGUCUUAAUUUCAAGGCCAAGUCAUGA